UCAAUCUGUCACUCACUUCCGUCUUGUUUGUUCUGUUUGUUUUUAUUGCGUUUACGCGUUUAUCUGUCUGUCUCCCGAGUUCUUUUUAUCAACAUUUCUCUGUGACCUGGCUUUCGUUCUUGGAUUGCUAUCUGCCUCAUCUGAUGACCAUGGCAUGUGUUGUAUGGACUUGAGACACAUCGUGCGAUUUGACUGUUGUUUUGAUAAACAUCCUCCUAGGAUCCGAUUGAUUCCCGAUACUAUCAGUGUAGUGAAAUGGGCCCUGAAAUCAUUUCUAUUAUUCAAAAUGCCAUAUGCCAAAAGGUCCGGAGACGUACUCAUAACCUAACAGACUAUGCCAGACAGUUUAAUGAAGAAAAUAUUUCACCACAAGUAUAUUUAAGCACCCGAAGAUGGCUUAGUGU
This is a long non-coding RNA of Ostrinia nubilalis (European corn borer), 404 nucleotides long. RefSeq lists it as uncharacterized. The record is from RefSeq and is a predicted model, not a curated record. Lineage: Eukaryota; Metazoa; Arthropoda; Insecta; Lepidoptera; Crambidae. The transcript has 4 exons.